GAAAUUAGCUCAGCUGGUAGAGCAACUGACUCUUAAUCAGUGGGUCAACGGUUCGAAUCCGUUAUUUCCC
This 70-nucleotide transfer RNA is filed under the name bovine gut metagenome. It matches the Rfam family "tRNA". From Rfam's summary of the family: Transfer RNA (tRNA) molecules are approximately 80 nucleotides in length. Their secondary structure includes four short double-helical elements and three loops (D, anti-codon, and T loops). The record is from RNAcentral.